RNAcentral lists this unclassified non-coding RNA (552 nucleotides) under Metschnikowia sp. JSKim-2014. RNAcentral's name for it is "partial contains 18S rRNA, ITS1, 5.8S rRNA, and ITS2". The stretch from base 201 to 354 matches the Rfam family "5.8S ribosomal RNA". The record is from RNAcentral. Lineage: Eukaryota; Fungi; Ascomycota; Pichiomycetes; Serinales; Metschnikowiaceae.
GACCUGCGGAAGGAUCAUUAAAGAGUAAGGGUGCUCAGCGCCCGACCUCCAACCCUUUGUUGUUAAAACUACCUUGUUGCUUUGGCGGGACCGCUCGGUCUCGAGCCGCUGGGGAUUCGUCCCAGGCGAGCGCCCGCCAGAGUUAAACCAAACUCUUGUUAUUAAACCGGUCGUCUGAGUUAAAAUUUUGAAUAAAUCAAAACUUUCAACAACGGAUCUCUUGGUUCUCGCAUCGAUGAAGAACGCAGCGAAAUGCGAUAAGUAAUGUGAAUUGCAGAAUUCAGUGAAUCAUCGAAUCUUUGAACGCACAUUGCGCCCCUUGGUAUUCCGAGGGGCAUGCCUGUUCGAGCGUCAUUACACCACUCAAGCUAUGCUUGGUAUUGGGUGCCGUCCUUAGUUGGGCGCGCCUUAAAGACCUCGGCGAGGCCUCACCGGCUUUAGGCGUAGUAGAAUUUAUUCGAACGUCUGUCAAAGGAGAGGACUUCUGCCGACUGAAACCUUUUAUUUUUCUAGGUUGACCUCGGAUCAGGUAGGGAUACCCGCUGAACUUAA